UACGUAGGCAGCAAGCGUUGUUCGGAGUUACUGGGCGUAAAGAGUGCGUAGGCGGUUUCGUAAGUUUGGUGUGAAAUCUCCCGGCUUAACUGGGAGGGUGCGCCGAAAACUGCGGGGCUGGAGUAGGGGAGAGGUAAGCGGAAUUCCUGGUGUAGCGGUGAAAUGCGUAGAUAUCAGGAGGAACACCGGCGGUGUAGACGGCUUACUGGACCCUGACUGACGCUGAGGCACGAAAGCGUGGGGAGCAAACAG
RNAcentral lists this ribosomal RNA (252 nucleotides) under uncultured bacterium. RNAcentral's name for it is "partial 16S ribosomal RNA". It matches the Rfam family "Bacterial small subunit ribosomal RNA", at positions 524 to 775 of the family's 1533-position model. The record is from RNAcentral.